This 468-nucleotide ribosomal RNA is filed under the name uncultured bacterium. RNAcentral's name for it is "partial 16S ribosomal RNA". It matches the Rfam family "Bacterial small subunit ribosomal RNA", at positions 28 to 507 of the family's 1533-position model. The record is from RNAcentral.
GACGAACGCUGGCGGCGUGCUUAACACAUGCAAGUCGAACGGAAAGGCCCUGCUUUUGUGGGGUGCUCGAGUGGCGCACGGGUGAGUAACACGUGAGUAACCUGCCCUUGACUUUGGGAUAACUUCAGGAAACUGGGGCUAAUACCGGAUAGGAGCUCCUGCUGCAUGGUGGGGGUUGGAAAGUUUCGGCGGUUGUGGAUGGACUCGCGGCUUAUCAGCUUGUUGGUGGAGUAGUGGCUUACCAAGGCUUUGACGGGUAGCCGGCCUGAGAGGGUUACCGGGGACAUUGGGACUGAGAGAGGGCCCAGAAGGCUACGGGAGGCAGCGGUGGGGAGUAUGACAGAGUGGGCGGAAGCCUGAUGCAGCAGCGCCGGGUGCGGGAUGACGGCCUUCGGGUUGUAAACCGCUUUCGCAUGUGACGAAGCGUGAGUGACGGUAAUGGGUAAAGAAGCACCGGCUAACUACGUG